GCUUACGGCCAUACCACCCUGAGAGCGCCCGAUCUCGUCUGAUCUCGGAAGCUAAGCAGGGUCGGGCCUGGUUAGUACUUGGAUGGGAGACCGCCUGGGAAUACCAGGUGCUGUAAGCUUUA
RNAcentral lists this ribosomal RNA (122 nucleotides) under Cyprinus carpio (common carp). Lineage: Eukaryota; Metazoa; Chordata; Actinopteri; Cypriniformes; Cyprinidae. The record is from RNAcentral.